CCCGUGUUUUCUGUUACAGGUUUUAGGUUUUGAUUCCUUCAAAGGGCCCAGACUGGAGAGAUGGCUCAGUAAUUAAAAGCACUUGUUAGUCUUCCAGAGGACCUGAGUUCAAUUCCCAGCACCUAUGUCAGACAGCUCACUGCUUCCUGUAACACUAGCUCCAGACUUUACUGAAUGUUCACAGAUCUGGAGAUAUGCAGUCUUCCCUGUAUUACAGGAUCUGUGUGAAGAGUGGGGAUGGAAUCUCUGCGCUCCUUCACUGUGGUUGAUUUUAACAGGGGAACCAGAGGCAGGAACCAAAAACCAGUAAGGCAUCCAAUAAAAUUUCACUCAUUCUGGAUCACACUUAAGAUUUUUCUCCUACAUUGAUACCACAAACCAUAAAAUCUUGCUGUUGCUGAAGAUCUGUGGAUAUAGGACAGCUCUCCCGUCAUGGGGAGUCCUACCCCAGUCUCAAGGAUGCCCCUCCAUUUUACCUAGUUUCUUCAGCAGCUUGCAGGCUGACUCACUAGGAGGGCUCAGUCAACAACUGCAUUCUCCGGUAUUAAGUAUGGUGAAAGAUGAUGAAGCUAGACUCAGUUAAACCGCAGAAAGACUGUCUUCAGAUAAGAAGAAGCCGUGAUGCUCAAAGCUGCUGUGGGCCUCUGCUGUAUGACCAACAUUAAGGCCAGUGCUUUGAACACAUGUGCCUAAGGAUCUAACAUAUCUACAUACAAGAUGAUUGAAAGCGAGGCACGGUGUUUCAUCUCCUUAGACUGUGUCCAG
Molecule: long non-coding RNA, 765 nt
Filed under: Mus musculus (house mouse)
Lineage: Eukaryota; Metazoa; Chordata; Mammalia; Rodentia; Muridae
Description: lincRNA-EC175
Source: RNAcentral